AGGCGGAACUCGCGGCGAUUCCUUUGUUCUUUGUGUCCCCGUGCCACGUCAUUUCCACGCGCCACGCAAAUUGCUCUGGCAAGUGUCAUUCGUCGUGUUUUCAGUCAAAAGCAUAGGAAAAACACCGUUCGAAAGUAGAAAAAUAAAUAUUUUUGCGAAGUUGCUCAACCGAUCUUCAUUUUGGAACUCAAAUUUGAAAGAUAAACGGUAAGUGGUUAUUUUUAUGUAAAAAUAUAUACGUUUAUAGGCUAAAUACAAAGAAAAAAUAGUAUAAUACAAAUUACAAUCUCGGUGCUUGUGAUGUUCUUGCCAAGAAGCAGAUUCCCAUUUCGCUAAAUUAAUGCGGGCCAAACGUAUUGCUUUCCUGUCUUUUACAUUAAUAAGAAAGCAUAGGUGCUGAUUUGAAACACGUCCAUCAGGUUCCAUGUAUGUAGCUUUGCGAUUUGUGAGCAAAAAUUAAAAGUUAAACUACCUAUGUUUUUAAUACUUUCUGUGCAACUAAUAACCACAUUCACAAAUAUAUUCUCCAGCAAAGAAACGUUUCUUUACGGAUUGUUAAUCCGCAUUUGAAUGCAUGCUUAUGCCUUCAAAGGUCAGAGGUCUUCACAUGCAGAAUAGCAGAGACUAGUGUCAUUGACAUCCUUUGUCACAAAAUUAUGAUGGCAUAUUGGACAGCUAUGUUGGAUAAGGCACUUCCUUAAUAAAUAGCUUGACACAUAAGUUCAUGCAGACUAAGUUUUGUUCAAUUUCAUUUGUUUUGUAGUCGGUAUCUUCAACUGCUUGGAUUAGUAGUGGGCUUGUCUGAUCAUUUCCUGCAGAUAAAUCAGAUUGGCUAGGGUGAAAUGCAAUCAAAUAGGCAUCAGACUCUUCAGCACAGCUGCCAAUUGAAAGUGGUGUCAAAAUAUUAUCUACAAAUAAUAAUGAGGCCAAAGAAGUUCUCCAGAGGAUCUUGUCAUGAGAAACUCCAAGGAAUGAUGUUGGUUAAGGUGUAAUGAGAAACUCCAAGGAAAGAUGUUGGUUAAGGUGUAAGUGUAAUAACUACUGACAGUGUAAAUACUACAACAGUGAAAUGUAAAUACAACAGUGUAAUUGGGGUUUAAAAAUACAAAGUUUAUUUUAAUAAAUGUUGUUUAUUUUAUGUCACAUUUAUAUACAUUUAAGAACUUAAAUUAUUCAAAAACUAAAUAAAUUAAAUAUGUGUUCAAUGUCAAUGAAUAUUGCUAUAUUCUAAAUUUUUUAUUCCAAAAUAGGCAAUAACUGUUUCCUUUAUUGUUGACCCCACAUGUUGUCAUGAAAAUUAAUACUAAAUAAAAAAAGUAGCCAAUGAUCCAUGUUUCCUCUUACAGUCUUUGCUUUAUAUGAAAAAUUAAAUACUACAGAAUAAUUGCAUUGUUCCUUUUAUUGAUAAAGAGUUUCCCAUUAAAAGAGAAAGUAUUCCCAAUUAAUACUUUGCAUGUUAAAGUGUGCUCACCCUUUGACGAGUAAAAUCGUCUGGCGUUAGACAGAGUAAAAUAAUAAAGUAGGGUGCAUCAGGGCACAUGCAAUGCAACUCAAUGGGUUAACUGGAUCGUCCGACAGAAUAAUAAAGUUGGGUUAACAAGUAAAAUUGUCUAGCUUUACAGUACAUCUUCCAAGGGGGGGCUGGAUUUGGGGAGCAGGCCUACCACUUUGGGGGGGGGGCUGCUUUUUUGAACCCCAAUUAAACUAUUACAGUAAUCCG
RNAcentral lists this long non-coding RNA (1720 nucleotides) under Paramuricea clavata. Lineage: Eukaryota; Metazoa; Cnidaria; Anthozoa; Malacalcyonacea; Plexauridae. The record is from RNAcentral.